RNAcentral lists this long non-coding RNA (516 nucleotides) under Mustela putorius furo (domestic ferret). RNAcentral describes it as "lncRNA (ENSMPUG00000029960.1)". Lineage: Eukaryota; Metazoa; Chordata; Mammalia; Carnivora; Mustelidae. The record is from RNAcentral.
GCCUAGUGGUAGUGGAAAGGGGCUUGUUCUAAAUAACAAAUCAGCCGUUUCACCUUUAUGGCUCUGAAAAGAUGUCAGGCACUGAGAGACGCUGUAAAAUCUGUUGAUAACAUCUCCGCCACCACAGCUAUGUUAUAGCCUGAUCAAGAGAAACCCAAAGGCUGAGCUUCUGUAUAGUCACUUUUACUAUCUGCUGGACAGACCGCAUCCAUGACAAUUCUCCCAGGACUGAAUCCCCCUCUCCAAAGCCCUAUCUUUCCGUGGAACAGAACUGAACAGAGAUAAUAGAGCAGCGGAGAUGGCUGAAGAAAUACCUGUAAUACAGCGCAUCUUAAAAUGAGAGAUGAUUAUGCUGAGUGAAAUAAGUCAAGCAGAGAGAGUCAAUUAUCAUAUGGUUUCACUUAUUUGUGGAGCAUAACGAAUAACAUGGAGGACAAGGAGAGUUAGAGAGGAGAAGGGAGUUGGGGUAAAUUGGAAGGGGAGGUGAACCAUAAGAGACUAUGGACUCAAAAACAA